RNAcentral lists this ribosomal RNA (119 nucleotides) under Pteropus alecto (black flying fox). The record is from RNAcentral. Lineage: Eukaryota; Metazoa; Chordata; Mammalia; Chiroptera; Pteropodidae.
GUCUACAGCCAUGCCACCCUGAACAAAACCAAUCUCAUCUGAUCUCAGAAGCUAAACAGAGUCGGGCCUGGUUAGCACUUAGAUGGGAGACCACCUAGGAAGACCGGGUGCUAUAGGUG